UACGUAGGAGGCAAGCGUUUGUCCGGAGUUACUGGGCGUAAAGGGCCCGCAGGCGGUGGAGUAAGUUUGGAGUGACAGUUCCCAGCUUAACCGGGAAAGGACUUCGAAAACUGCUCGACUUGAGGACUGGAGAGGAAGGCGGAAUUCCGGGUGGAGCGGUGAAAUGCGUAGAGAUCCGGAGGAACACCAAAGGCGAAGGCAGUGUCCUGGGGAGUACCUGACGCUCAGGUGCGAAAGCCAGGGGAGCGAACGGG
Molecule: ribosomal RNA, 254 nt
Filed under: uncultured bacterium
Lineage: Bacteria
Description: partial 16S ribosomal RNA
Rfam family: Bacterial small subunit ribosomal RNA
Source: RNAcentral